ACCGGGGUGGAAACAUCCCUUCCCGCAAGGGCCGCUAUAUAGGUGCUGCAUGGCUGUCGUCAGCUCGUGUCGUGAGAUGUUGGGUUAGGUCCCGCAACGAGCGCAACCCUUAUUGCCAGUUGCCAUCAUUUAGUUGGGCACUCUGGCGAAACCGCCCCGGUUAACGGGGAGGAAGGUGGGGAUGACGUCAAGUCCUCAUGGUCUUUAUGUCCAGGGCUACACACGUGCUACAAUGGGUGGUACAAACCGUCGCAAACCCGCGAGGGGGAGCUAAUCGGAAAAAGCCAUCCUCAGUUCGGAUUGGAGUCUGCAACUCGACUCCAUGAAGCUGGAAUCGCUAGUAAUCGCGGAUCAGAACGCCGCGGUGAAUACGUUCCCGGGCCUUGUACACACCGCCCGUCACAUCACGAAAGUGGGUUCUACAAGAAGUCGUCGUGCCAACCGCAAGGAGGCAGACGCCCAAGGUAUAAUUUCAUGAGUG
Molecule: ribosomal RNA, 481 nt
Filed under: uncultured bacterium
Lineage: Bacteria
Description: bacterial SSU rRNA
Rfam family: Bacterial small subunit ribosomal RNA
Source: RNAcentral